This is a long non-coding RNA of Xenia sp. Carnegie-2017, 747 nucleotides long. RefSeq lists it as uncharacterized. The transcript is spliced from 3 exons. The record is from RefSeq and is a predicted model, not a curated record. Lineage: Eukaryota; Metazoa; Cnidaria; Anthozoa; Malacalcyonacea; Xeniidae.
UGGUCAGUGUAGUGGAUAAAAUGGGAUAAAAUUGCAAUUAUUAUCCCAAUGAUUUAUAUUUUAAAAUGUUGAAAGAUAAGAAACUUAUCUGAGAUUGACAUUUUGUGAUUAUAGGUGGCAUUAUGCUAGAAACUAAAGAGUCAACAAAAAACGAUAUACGUGUUGUAUGAGUUCAUGCUAUACAAUUCAUCGCUGAAUACGAAAACUUUCUACACUCGUCAAAAGCAGAUAUUAUAAUUCGAGGAUUGAGGCAGAAGAAAUAUUUGAAAAUGAAACUUCCAACAGUGUAACAAAAUCAAGCAUGAGAGUGGAGAAAAAACGAUGCCAGAUUGAAGAUGGCGUGAUGAAAUUGAACGUAGUUGAAGCACCUAGCGUACGCUCGAGAGUUUUGGAUGAGGACUUGUGGACAAAUGAAAACAAGAAUGAUUCCAAGCAUGUUGACAGUGUGAAGAGAAAUCUGAUUUCGAAAGUAUAGAGGAAGCAAUCACCACGAGAGAUUUGCAAGAAAAAAUCAAAGUGUACUCUGCAAACUUUGUAUAUAAAUGUGGAGUAUUGUGAGAAGAGUACUCUUAGGAAUGUUAUUCACGAGAGAUAGUAUAAGGACCAACGGAGAAUGUGGCCCCUUCUCCGUGAGAUUGUAGAAGAAUGUUUUCGACUAUUGUAUGUACUAACUGUAUGUAUGUGUAACUAAACUUGAAAAUAAUGUAAACUAUUUUUUUUUGCUCAAUAAAUAUGAAUAAAGACUUA